GACGAACGCUGGCGGCGUGCUUAACACAUGCAAGUCGAACGGAAAGGCCCUGCUUGCAGGGUCCUCGAGUGUCGAACGGGUGAGUAACACGUGGGUGAUCUGCCCUUCACUUCGGGAUAAUCCUUGGAAACUGUGUCUAAUACCUGAUAGCAGCCAUUUUUAUUUUUAUGGUUGGAAAGUUUUUUCGGUGUAGUAUGAGUUCGCGUCCUAUCAGCUUGUUGGUUGGGUAAUGGCCUACCAAGCCGGCUACGGGUAGCCGGACAGCGAGUGUGGACGGCCAAAUUGGGACUGAGAUACGGCCCAGACUCCGAAGGGAGGCAGAAGUGGGGAAUAUUGCAAAAUGGGCGCAAGCCUGAUGCAGAGACGCCGCGGGGGGGAAGACGGCCUUCGGGUUGUAAACUCCUUGCGCUAGGGACGAAGCUUUUUGUGACGGUACCUAGAUAAGAAGCACCGGCUAACUACGUG
RNAcentral lists this ribosomal RNA (465 nucleotides) under uncultured bacterium. RNAcentral describes it as "partial 16S ribosomal RNA". It matches the Rfam family "Bacterial small subunit ribosomal RNA", at positions 28 to 507 of the family's 1533-position model. The record is from RNAcentral.